GAUUACAGUGGAGUACAUUGAAGCUGGUAGUUCUACUUCCCUGGGAAACAGUGGAAUAGAUCGAAGAUUACAAUCUUAUCUCCCUAAGCAGUAGUGGAGUAGAUCGCAUUAAGUCUUAUCUCCCUAAGCAGUAGUGGAGUAGACAACCACAGAUCUUAUUUCCCUAAGCAAUAGUGGAGCAGAUCGCAUCAAGUCUUAUCUCCCUAAGUAGUAGUGGAGCAGACUAAAAACACAAAUCUCAUCCCCAUGGAGUCGUAGCAGAGUAGAUUGAAGCUACAAGGCGUAUCUGAAGUUGCAGUAGAGUGGAUCGAAGCAACAAGACGUAGCAGACUGGAAUAAGGCUACUGGAAGAAGAUGAGCACCAAAAAGUCAAGACUCGGCAAGACCGGGCAAAAUUGGCCCUUUUGAUGUCUUUGCUCUAUUCUCGUUACACAAAAAUGAGCAAAGAGGGGCAGCUGUAAAGGCCUAAUUUUGGCCCAACUUAAACCAACCCUAACCAAACCCAAUUUAGCCCAACAGACUAAAACCCUAAGCCCAGCCCAAACCUAAACAAUUUUCAGCAAAAAGAGAGGAGAAGAACCCUAGCCGCCGCCCCACCUUGGCCCGCCACUACCAGUUGUCUGCCACCAGCACACCCACUUGCCUCCACCACUCUAUGCCUGCAAAAGAAGACAAAAAAGGACAGCAAAGAAAAACACCAAAAAAUGAAAUUCUUUGUAUUUUUUUUCUUUGGAUUUUGGGCUAUAUAAAAGCCCUAUGGUCAUUGUAAAGAGGGGGGACACCAUAGUAAUAAAAAGAUAGAUUUUGAAUUAGAGAAGGUGAUAUUUCGUUUUUUUUGAAAAAAAAACACACUACAAAAAUUCAAUACAAAAAAACCAAAAAAAAAAUCAGAAGAGGUGACUUUUAGUCUUUAUUCCGACUUGAUUUUCAUUUUCUUUAUUCCGACUUGAUUUUCAUUUUCUUUCUUCGUGUUUUUUUAUUUAGUGUAAAAUAAAAAAGGAAGGAACUAACCCGUGUUUGGAAACCUUUGAAUCUCUGCUUGUUUCGUCAUAAUCGAAACUUGGUAGCGAUUUAGAGUUUGCGAGUGAAAGUCACGAACUGGUGGUCCAAUGAAGCCUUGAUUGACCAUUGUUGGGUCGAAAGGAAAGGCAAGAGGAUCGUCGAUGGAGGGCUUGAAGAUCGGCCGAAUAUUGAAGAGAAAAGCUUGGUUUUCUUUCUCUUUUUUUUGAAGCGGCUAGGGGAUUUACUUAGGAUACUUAGGAUUUGCUUUUGCUGCUUUGGGGAAGAUUAAAUGGCACCGUUUCAGGCUAAUACUAAUAGCCCCAAAAUGGCACUACUUAAAAAAGAGGGUUAUUUGUAAUAUGAGUCCCUCUUCUCUUACAUGUGUCUCAUUUUAGCUUAAAUUCUAGCUUUUUAAUUUAUCCCUUAAAGUUCAUUUCUUUUUAUUUUUGGUUCCUUGACCGUUGAAUCUUGUUUAUUUUUCAUUUUUUAUUAUUUUCAAUAUUAUGCAUUUAUUUUUAUUUUCUUCAGUAUUUUAUUUACUUGCUCUUUUUAAAUUCAACCCCUUAUAUUUUGUUUUAUUUUC
Molecule: long non-coding RNA, 1585 nt
Filed under: Gossypium barbadense (sea-island cotton)
Lineage: Eukaryota; Viridiplantae; Streptophyta; Magnoliopsida; Malvales; Malvaceae
Description: long non-coding RNA (GBAR_LNC016615)
Source: RNAcentral